Molecule: ribosomal RNA, 564 nt
Filed under: uncultured archaeon
Lineage: Archaea
Description: bacterial SSU rRNA
Rfam family: Archaeal small subunit ribosomal RNA
Source: RNAcentral
CGGGGUGCACCAGGCGCGAAAACUUUACAAUGCCGGCAACGGCGAUAAGGGGACCUCGAGUGCCAGGUUACAAAUCUGGCUGUCGUGAUGCCUAAAAAGCAUUGCAUAGCAAGGGCCGGGCAAGACCGGUGCCAGCCGCCGCGGUAACACCGGCGGCUCGAGUGGUAACCGUUAUUAUUGGGUCUAAAGGGUCUGUAGCCGGCCGGAUAAGUCUCUUGGGAAAUCCAGCAGCUCAACUGUUGGGCUUUCAGGAGAUACUGUCUGGCUCGAGGCCGGGAGAGGUGAGAGGUACUUCAGGGGUAGGGGUGAAAUCUUGUAAUCCUUGAAGGACCACCAGUGGCGAAGGCGUCUCACCAGAACGGACCUGACGGCAAGGGACGAAAGCUAGGGGCACGAACCGGAUUAGAUACCCGGGUAGUCCUAGCCGUAAACGAUACUCGCUAGGUGUCGGCCACGGUGCGACCGUUGUCGGUGCCGUAGGGAAGCCGUGAAGCGAGCCGCCUGGGAAGUACGGCCGCAAGGCUGAAACUUAAAGGAAUUGGCGGGGGAGCACAAGGGCGAUUG